AUUGAACGCUGGCGGCAGGCCUAACACAUGCCAGUCGAACGGUAACAGGAAGAAGCUUGCUUCUUUGCUGACGAGUGGCGGACGGGUGAGUAAUGUCUGGGAAACUGCCUGAUGGAGGGGGAUAACUACUGGAAACGGUAGCUAAUACCGCAUAACGUCGCAAGACCAAAAAGGGGGACCUUCGGGCCUCUUGCCAUCGGAUGUGCCCAGAUGGGAUUAGCUAGUAGGUGGGGUAACGGCUCACCUAGGCGACGAUCCCUAGCUGGUCUGAGAGGAUGACCAGCCACCCUGGAACUGAGACACGGUCCAGACUCCUACGGGGGGCAGCAGUGGGGAAUAUUGCACAAUGGGCGCAAGCCUGAUGCAGCCAUGCCGCGUGUAUGAAGAAGGCCUUCGGGUUGUAAAGUACUUUCAGCGGGGAGGAAGGGAGUAAAGUUAAUACCUUUGCUCAUUGACGUUACCCGCAGAAGAAGCACCGGCUAACUCCGUG
This 490-nucleotide ribosomal RNA is filed under the name uncultured bacterium. Its description in RNAcentral is "partial 16S ribosomal RNA". It matches the Rfam family "Bacterial small subunit ribosomal RNA", at positions 30 to 507 of the family's 1533-position model. The record is from RNAcentral.